This 33-nucleotide transfer RNA is filed under the name Rosa acicularis. RNAcentral describes it as "partial tRNA-Val". The record is from RNAcentral. Lineage: Eukaryota; Viridiplantae; Streptophyta; Magnoliopsida; Rosales; Rosaceae.
UAUGUAAUUAGUUAAAUUUAUAUUUAAUUAAAU